Molecule: transfer RNA, 72 nt
Filed under: Bos taurus (domestic cattle)
Lineage: Eukaryota; Metazoa; Chordata; Mammalia; Artiodactyla; Bovidae
Also listed under: 4 other names
Rfam family: tRNA
About the family: Transfer RNA (tRNA) molecules are approximately 80 nucleotides in length. Their secondary structure includes four short double-helical elements and three loops (D, anti-codon, and T loops). Further hydrogen bonds mediate the characteristic L-shaped molecular structure. tRNAs have two regions of fundamental functional importance: the anti-codon, which is responsible for specific mRNA codon recognition, and the 3' end, to which the tRNAs corresponding amino acid is attached (by aminoacyl-tRNA synthetases). tRNAs cope with the degeneracy of the genetic code in two manners: having more than one tRNA (with a specific anti-codon) for a particular amino acid; and 'wobble' base-pairing, i.e. permitting non-standard base-pairing at the 3rd anti-codon position.
Source: Rfam by way of RNAcentral
UCCCUGGUGGCUAAGAGGGUAAAGAAUCCGCUUGUAAUGUGGGAGAUUCAGGUUCAAUCCCUGGGUUGGGAA